GAGAGUAAGAAAAAGAAGACAGAGGAGGAAAAGAGGGAGGAGUGGGGAGCAGAGGUGAGGAAGAAACUGAUGGCAAAAUCAAAACUCAGAGUGCCCUCAAUGCACCCAAGUGGGGGGCCCCAUUUCCUGGGUAGCACAGGUGAGAGAGCCAGGGUCCACAGUGGUCCAGAGUAGCAGUGUCCUGUCCGAAUUGGUGCAGCCUGCGGCUGGGCUGCGAGCCACAGCCCACAGUGGCAGGCAGAGUUCCUGGAAAGCAAGCGGGUGGAGUUCCUCCUAGAGAUCAGAGCAGCUUGGGCAAGAUCCCCUGGUCAAGGUCUCCACCCUGGCAGAGGUAACACCCCCCUGGGGGAGGAGUGGGACGUGUGUCCGCCCUGUAGGUUUGGUACAGCCUGUCCUGUGAGCUUCCGGUGGCUUCUCUGUUACUCUACCCUGGAUGAGUUAGUUGGUCUUAAGUUCCCGAAGGCAUGGAUGGAGGGGGGGGCGGUGUUGUGAGGCCACCUGAGUGGAAAGAUUGGCACUGUUUACAAAAUCAACCUCUCCUUGGAAACUUCUUUUUUUUUUUUAAUUAACACAGGCCAAUAAAAGUUAAGACACAAGAGAGCAGAAGGAUGCUCACAUCUGGUAGGGACCCCUGCCACCACCUCCUCCACCUCCUUCUCCUCCCCCACCCUCUGCUUCCUUUUCCUCUCUUUAUCCCUUCUCCCCUUUGCUUUCUUUCUUCCCCCCUUCUCUUUUCCUCCCCGUUUGUCUCCCUUCCCACCUUCUGCCUUCUACAUACAUUUAUUAAACACCAGCUGUAUGCCAGGCACUUCUCUGAGCCCUAAAGACACAGCAUGCAAUACGUAUAUAUAAGGCCCUGCUUAUAUUCUGAAGGGUUGUCCAUGUCUGCUCCUGUAAGGGGUACCACUGUGAUGCCGUGGAGGCCAGCUUCUUGUGGUCCAGGGUGUUUCAUGGGCUUCUGUGAAUGGGCAGCCUGCCUACCCAUCUUAUCACUAGAGAUGCCUGUUCCUUAGGCAACCCUCCCCCUGUAGUAUUGCCUCCACCAAGGCUGCCUUGGCAGAGGACUCUCCCAUGGGUUCCCUUCCCUGGGGAAUAGGCAGCACCCGCCUCCUGGUCUGCAGAGUUCUCUCUCCCUGCCACCUCCCCCUACUGCCACCCACAGCUAUUCUGGGCCCCAGGUCCCUUUCACUUUCUGCUUAGCUCUUCCUGCUCAGCAGUUCCUCACCCUCCCCUGCUCCUCCAGCCCCCUCCCUGCUGGCCCCAGGUUCUGUCUGUGCCUCUUUUGCUGCUGGCUCCAGUUUCUGUUAGAAACUGCACGGGAAGGUAGCUUGUAGUGAGACCUGGGUUUGAAUUCCCCUCUGUGCCUUCCUGGCAUGGGGCUUUGACCCACCUUGGAGCUUCAAAUCCUUGCAUGCACCACUUAGUGGGGCUAUGGGCGCUGGGAGCUCCUCUGCAGUUUCCCUGAGACACUCCAGGAUUUAUAUCUUAGCUCAAGUCUCAGCACAUAAUAGAAACAGAGAUCAUGCACAAGUUCUUGUGUGUGUGCAUGUGUGUGUGUGUGCACAUGCAUGUAUGUGUAUGCAUGCAUGCACAUGCUCGUGUGUAAUGGGAUGGGGCACUAAGGAAAAAAGAACAACAAAAUCCCUGAGGACUUCACUGAGCACCCCUCUAGGAAGGGUGACCUUGGCCAAGUCCCUUUCUUCCUUAAGCCCUAGUUUCCCUGUGAAGUAACUGCAAUAAAGAUCAGUUAUCCCUGCCAAGCAAUGGUGGCACACGCCUUUAAUCCCAGCCCUUUGGAGGCAGAUUGAUCUCUGGUCUACAAAGUGAGUUCCAGAACAAGCAGGGCUAUUCAGUGAAAUGCUGAAAAAGUGAAAGUGGGGGGUGGAGAGAGAGGGAGGAGAGAGAGAGAGAGAAGAAGGGAGAGGGAAACAGAAAGGGAGAGGGAGGGGGAGGGGAGGGAAAGACAGAGAGAGAGGGAUGGAGGAAGGGAGGGAGGGAGGGAGGGAGGGAGGGAGGGAGAGAGAGAGAGAGAGAGUCCCAGUGCCUAGUGAAUGCUGGCUGAGCUGUACCCUGGCUCUCCUGUAGGGUGGCCUCAGCUGAUAGGCUUCAUCCAGCUGCUUGUGUCUUUGUUUACAGAGCUGCCUCAGGCGUCUUCCCAUAAUGCUUAUGCUUGUAGCUCUAAGAGCACAGGUAGGAACCAUAGACCCCUUAAAGAUUAGGCAGGAGUAGCUGGUCUCUUAACCAUUUGGUCAGGAUACUAACAUUCAGGGAUAGGACACAAAUUCAAAAACAACUUCAGCCCCACCCCCAACGCAUCUUCUACUUUAGGGACAGUUUGAUACUUUUCAAAAGUCUGCUCCUUCUGCUUCAGCCUCCUGGAAGCAGGAACUACAGUAGUGUGCCACCACACCUGACAUUUUCUUAUCUUUUCUCACUUCCUCUUUCCCUCCCACGAGAUUUCUCCAGUCUGGAAUCAUAGGGCUUAGAUUUGCUGCAGCCAUCUUCUGUCUAGCCUGAAGUUUCCCUUUUCAGGACCUCUGGUGUUGUUUUUGGAUACAGUAUCUCUUUUUGUUUCCCUACAGGCUUUGCUUACUCUGUCUGUGGAGCCCCGCUUUCUGUUUUUACUUUUUGCAUUAUUCAUUUACCUACUAACAGAGGUGUGUACAGUAGUCAGGGGACAUGUGUGCAGGUCCCAACUUGCAGGGACAUUUCUUUCCUUCCACACGUGGAUUCUGGGGAUCAGACUCAGAACUGGUUUACCUUCUGUCCAGCCUGCCACCUGCUUGGCCCAGGCCUCAGGCAGUUUUUAUGUAGAUGGCACACUUGGGGGCUGAAGAUAUGACUCAGUUGAUAAUGUGUGCCUAUUAUGAACAACCACCUGGACCCCAUCCCAGGACUACAUAAACCAGGCAUGGUGGUGCAUGCCAGUGAUCUCAGGACUGGUAAAUGAAGGGAGGGAAACAAGAGGAUGGAGAGUUCAAGGCCACCCUAAGCUAGUAUGUUUGAGACCAGCUUGGGCUACAUGAGACCUUGUCUC
Molecule: long non-coding RNA, 3037 nt
Filed under: Mus musculus (house mouse)
Lineage: Eukaryota; Metazoa; Chordata; Mammalia; Rodentia; Muridae
Description: long non-coding RNA chr16:10768695-10771732
Source: RNAcentral